CAAUCCAAAUACCCAUCACUUUUUCUUAUUUGACGUCAUGAUCAACAUUGGAAGAGAAUACUUUUAUUGGAGGGUAUGGAUUCGAUCGACAUGAAUCGAUCGAAAAAUGAGAACGUGAAUCGAUCGACACCGAUUCGAUCGACAAAAUUCGAUUGAUUCACGGGCUUGUCAAUCGCACGGGUUAAUCGAUCGACUCAAUGCUUUUUUCGAUCCAUUGACGGCUUUUGUCGAUCGAUUCACGGGUUUGUCGAUCGAUUCACGGCUUUCGUCGAUCCAUUCACGGGUUUGUCGAUCCAUUCACGGUCGACUGAUUCACGGGUUUGUCGAUCGACUCACGGGUUUGUCGAUCGAUUCACGGGUUUGCCGAUCGAUUCACGGGUUUGCCGAUAGAUUUACGGGUUUGCCGAUAGAUUUACGGGUUUGCCGAUCGAUUCACGGGUUUGUCGAUCCAUUCACGGGUUUGUCGAUCCAUUCACGGUCGACUGAUUCACGGGUUUGUCGAUCGAUUCACGGGUUUGUCGAUCCAUUCACGGGUUUGUCGAUCGAUUCACGGGUUUGUCGAUCGAUUCACGGGUUUGCCGAUCGAUUCACGGGUUUGCCGAUCGAUUCACGGGUUUGUCGAUCCAUUCACGGUCGACUGAUUCACGGGUUUGUCGAUCGACUCACGAGUUUGUCGAUCGAUUCACGGGUUUAUCGAUCGAUUCACGGGUUUGUCGAUCGAUUCACGGGUUUGUCGAUCGAUUCACGGGUUUGUCGAUCGAUUUACGCUUUUGUAGAUCCAUUCACGGGUUUGUCGAUCCAUUCACGGUCGACUGAUUCAAGGGUUUGUCGAUCGACUCACGGGUUUGUCGAUCGAUUCACGGGUUUAUCGAUCGAUUCACGGGUUUAUCGAUCGAUUCACGGGUUUGUCGAUCGAUUCACGGGUUUGUCGAUCGAUUCACGGGUUUGCCGAUCGAUUCACGGGUUUGUCGAUCGAUUCACAGGUUUGUCGAUCGAUUCAUGUUUUCGUUUUUCGAUCCAUUCAUGUCGAUCGGAUCCAUACCCUCCAUUUUAUUUUCAUGAGUGUGUGUAUUCUAAUGGAGUUGUUUCU
This 1090-nucleotide long non-coding RNA is filed under the name Bemisia tabaci. RNAcentral's name for it is "lncRNA ENSSSA1UGG010705". Lineage: Eukaryota; Metazoa; Arthropoda; Insecta; Hemiptera; Aleyrodidae. The record is from RNAcentral.